GCUCUGUUAGCUCAGUUGGUAGAGCAACUGACUCUUAAUCAGUGGGUCUAGGGUUCGAGUCCCUAACAGAGCACCA
This 76-nucleotide transfer RNA is filed under the name Bacteroidota bacterium. RNAcentral describes it as "tRNA-Lys". It matches the Rfam family "tRNA". From Rfam's summary of the family: Transfer RNA (tRNA) molecules are approximately 80 nucleotides in length. Their secondary structure includes four short double-helical elements and three loops (D, anti-codon, and T loops). Further hydrogen bonds mediate the characteristic L-shaped molecular structure. tRNAs have two regions of fundamental functional importance: the anti-codon, which is responsible for specific mRNA codon recognition, and the 3' end, to which the tRNAs corresponding amino acid is attached (by aminoacyl-tRNA synthetases). tRNAs cope with the degeneracy of the genetic code in two manners: having more than one tRNA (with a specific anti-codon) for a particular amino acid; and 'wobble' base-pairing, i.e. permitting non-standard base-pairing at the 3rd anti-codon position. Lineage: Bacteria; Pseudomonadati; Bacteroidota. The record is from RNAcentral. RNAcentral also lists the same sequence under 2 other names.